GAUGAACGCUGGCGGCGUGCUUAACACAUGCAAGUCGAACGAGAAUCAACGGAUUGAGGAUUCGUCCAAAUGAAGUUGAGGAAAGUGGCGGACGGGUGAGUAACGCGUGAGGAACCUGCCUCGGAGUGGGGAAUAACAGUUGGAAACAGCUGCUAAUACCGCAUAAUGCAACGGAAUCGCAUGACUCUGUUGCCAAAGAUUUAUCGCUCUGAGAUGGCCUCGCGUCUGAUUAGCUAGUUGGCGGGGUAACGGCCCACCAAGGCGACGAUCAGUAGCCGGACUGAGAGGUUGGCGGCCACAUUGGGACUGAGACACGGCCCAG
This 322-nucleotide ribosomal RNA is filed under the name uncultured bacterium. RNAcentral's name for it is "bacterial SSU rRNA". It matches the Rfam family "Bacterial small subunit ribosomal RNA", at positions 28 to 334 of the family's 1533-position model. The record is from RNAcentral.